This 127-nucleotide small RNA is filed under the name Marmota monax (woodchuck). Lineage: Eukaryota; Metazoa; Chordata; Mammalia; Rodentia; Sciuridae. The record is from RNAcentral.
GCCUGGCAUGGUGGUGCACACCUGUGAUCCCAGCAGCACGGGAGGCUGAGGCAGGAGGAUCGUGUGUUCAAAGGCAGCCUCAGCAAUUUACUGAGGCCCUAAGCAACUCAGCGAGACCCUGCCUCUA